RNAcentral lists this ribosomal RNA (253 nucleotides) under uncultured bacterium. RNAcentral describes it as "partial 16S ribosomal RNA". It matches the Rfam family "Bacterial small subunit ribosomal RNA", at positions 524 to 776 of the family's 1533-position model. The record is from RNAcentral.
UACGGAGGGUGCAAGCGUUAUCCGGAUUUAUUGGGUUUAAAGGGUGCGUAGGCUGUGUCUUAAGUCAGCGGUGAAAUGUCAGGGCUCAACCUUGAGACUGCCGUUGAUACUGGGAGACUGGAGAGGAAGAGAGGUACGCGGAAUGCGCAGUGUAGCGGUGAAAUGCAUAGAUAUUGCGAAGAACUCCGAUUGCGAAGGCAGCUCACUGGAGCGCAACUGACGCUGAAGCUCGAAAGUGCGGGUAUCGAACAGG